GAUGAAGAACGCAGCGAAAUGCGAUACGUAAUGUGAAUUGCAGAAUUCAGUGAAACAUCGAGUCUUUGAACGCACAUUGCGCCCCCUGGUAUUCCGGGGGGCAUGCCUGUCCGAGCGUCAUUGCUGCCCUCAAGCACGGCUUGUGUGUUGGGCCUCCGUCCUCCUCCCGGGGGACGGGCCCGAAAGGCAGCGGCGGCACCGCGUCCGGUCCUCGAGCGUAUGGGGCUUCGUCACCCGCUCUUGUAGGCCCGGCCGGCGCUUGCCGACACAUCAAUCUUUUUUCCAGGUUGACCUCGGAUCAGGUAGGGAUACCCGCUGAACUUAAGCAUAUCAAUAAGCGGAGGA
Molecule: unclassified non-coding RNA, 345 nt
Filed under: soil metagenome
Description: partial contains 5.8S ribosomal RNA, internal transcribed spacer 2, and large subunit ribosomal RNA
Rfam family: 5.8S ribosomal RNA (bases 1-120)
Source: RNAcentral